UUUAAAUUGGCGUGGUAUUUUGACUAUACGAAGGUAUUGAAAUAAGGCUUUAAUUGGGUGCUAAGAGAAUGGUUUAACAGGGAUUAUCUUUUUUCUUAAUUUAAUUGGAAGUUAAUUUGAAAGUGAAGAAGCUUUUAUGAGGAUUUGGGACAAGAAGACCCUAUGAAUUUUUUAGAAGGUUAUUUUUUGUAUUUGUUUGGAAGGUGAGAUUUGAGUGACCUUUGAUUAAUUGGGGCGAUUUUUAAAUUUAGGUAACUUUAAAAGUAUUUCAUUGGAUCCAGUAUUAUUGAUAGAUUGAAUAAAAUACUCUAGGGAUAACAGCGUUAUUACUUUGGAUAGUUCAUAUAGAUAAAGUAGAUUGCGACCCUCGAUGUUGGAUUAGGAUACCUUUACCUAAUGGAGAAGUUGUAAUAGGGGGUUUGCUCAACCUUUAAAUUCCUACAUGAUCUGAGU
This 453-nucleotide ribosomal RNA is filed under the name Ornithodoros savignyi. RNAcentral describes it as "partial large subunit ribosomal RNA". The stretch from base 118 to 453 matches the Rfam family "Bacterial large subunit ribosomal RNA", at positions 2048 to 2610 of the family's 2925-position model. The record is from RNAcentral. Lineage: Eukaryota; Metazoa; Arthropoda; Arachnida; Ixodida; Argasidae.